RNAcentral lists this ribosomal RNA (208 nucleotides) under Meliosma alba. RNAcentral describes it as "partial 26S ribosomal RNA". It matches the Rfam family "Eukaryotic large subunit ribosomal RNA", at positions 1 to 208 of the family's 3401-position model. Lineage: Eukaryota; Viridiplantae; Streptophyta; Magnoliopsida; Proteales; Sabiaceae. The record is from RNAcentral.
CGACCCCAGGUCAGGCGGGACUACCCGCUGAGUUUAAGCAUAUCAAUAAGCGGAGGAGAAGAAACUUACAAGGAUUCCCCUAGUAACGGCGAGCGAACCGGGAUCAGCCCAGCUUGAGAAUCGAGCGGCACCGUCGUUCGAAUUGUAGUCUGUAGAAGCGUCCUCAGCGACGGACCGGGCCCAAGUCCCCUGGAAGGGGGCGCCAGAG